CCUCCGGGCGGCAGCAGUGGGGAAUAUUGCACAAUGGGGGAAACCCUGAUGCAGCGACGCCGCGUGAGUGAAGAAGUAUUUCGGUAUGUAAAGCUCUAUCAGCAGGGAAGAAAAUGACGGUACCUGAUGAAUAAGCCCCGGCUAACUACGUGCCAGCAGCCGCGGGAAUACGUCGGGGGCAAGCGUUAUCCGGAGUUAAUGGGUGUUAUGGGAGCGUAGACGGCAGGACAAGUCUGGAGUGAAAUGCCGGGGCUUAACCCCGGAACUGCUUUGGAAACUGGGUAGCUCGAGUGCAGGAGAGGUAAGUGGAAUGCCUAGUGUAGCGGUGAAAUGCGUAGAUAUUAGGAGGAACACCAGUGGCGAAGGCGGCUUACUGGACUGUAACUGACGUUGAGGCUCGAAAGCGUGGGGAGCAAACAGGAUUAGAUACCCGAGUAGUC
This 440-nucleotide ribosomal RNA is filed under the name uncultured bacterium. RNAcentral describes it as "partial 16S ribosomal RNA". It matches the Rfam family "Bacterial small subunit ribosomal RNA", at positions 338 to 795 of the family's 1533-position model. The record is from RNAcentral.